RNA transcript from Haliotis rubra (blacklip abalone), 795 nucleotides. It is a transcript of the gene named ribosomal protein 63, mitochondrial-like, with no coding region annotated. The record is from RefSeq and is a predicted model, not a curated record. The transcript is spliced from 3 exons. NCBI's taxonomy places the organism in Eukaryota, Metazoa, Mollusca, Gastropoda, Lepetellida, Haliotidae.
ACGUCGGUCAUCUUGAUAUCACGACUGUAAAAAUGUAUUGUUUAUCUCUGUUAGUAAAGACAGAUUUUGAGGGAGAAGUUUCUGUAACAACAUUGCAGUACGUCGGAUAUGCAGCUUACUAAGGAAUAUGUGUCUGAGAUUGGUUCUCGCUUCACAGAUUUUGCAUGCCCAUGCGAUCCCAAGGGUCAGUUGUCUCGGGGUUAGAGUAGGAAGAACAAGGUAAUCCCACGCAUCUCUGUUGACGCCAAACGAAGGGCUCUGUGUCGCCUCCUGGUGGAACAAGACAACCUGGACAUUCUGAAGAACCCAUACCUGACAAUGGAUGAAGAACAUGGCCAUACCAAAGAACGAAGUGCUGUAAAACUGGAGAGAAUAAGAGCAGCAAAAAAGAUGAAAAUGAUUCCACAUAGACAUUUAGAAGUUGAGCUCAAUCACUUAAACUGUUCCAAGAAAUGGGAAUAAAUGUAGCUCCGUGUGAAUGUGUGUGUAGUUCCGAUUGGAUGUUGCGUACUAGAAUAUGGUCAUGUCAACGGGGGAUUCUCAACCGGCAGUCGGCCAUUGACUAUGAAGUUUUUCAAAAAGUUGGGACAUAACAGUCCAGGAGUUUAGAACAGAACAAGGUGAAUUGGAAAUAGAUUCCUGGUAGUCUGCCAGGGCUGCAGACAUGGUACCUGUUGGAACUAGGGUGAUAAGAGAGGAUACAGAGUGUUGAAACCAGAAGUAGUUGCCCCAAGGAAUAGUGACAUGUAUGUAAUGUUCAUAGUUAUUAUGAAAUAAAAUAUACUGUGAUUCUUA